GCCCAGGUGCCUAAGUAAACCGCUCAGCGGUUUCCCUCUAGGAGUUUUGGACCGCUUAGCGGUCAGUUUUGCCGCUGAGUGGUUUCCCUUUAAUCGCUCUGGAUGCUCAGCAGUCCAUUCUGGCACUCAGCGGCUCACUUGACCCUUCUUUUCAUCCUUUUUCUUCCCUUUCACGGGUAUAAGUCCACCUUACUUCUCUUCCAUCUUCAAUUCAUCUUAAAACCCUGCAAAACAAUGUAAAAAGAAGCAUAAUAUCUCUAAAACCAACUUUUGACUCUCUUAUGA
Molecule: long non-coding RNA, 285 nt
Filed under: Vigna radiata
Lineage: Eukaryota; Viridiplantae; Streptophyta; Magnoliopsida; Fabales; Fabaceae
Description: long non-coding RNA (VRAD_LNC013708)
Source: RNAcentral